UUCUAGGACCAUACCACCCUGAAUGUGCCCGAUCUUGUCUGAUCUCAGAAGCUAAGCAGGGUUGGGCCUGCUUAGUACUUGGAUGGAAGAAAAUCCUGAAGAAUCUACGAAAAAACUCCUAGAAC
RNAcentral lists this ribosomal RNA (125 nucleotides) under Microcebus murinus (gray mouse lemur). Lineage: Eukaryota; Metazoa; Chordata; Mammalia; Primates; Cheirogaleidae. The record is from RNAcentral.